This 1539-nucleotide ribosomal RNA is filed under the name Klebsiella pneumoniae subsp. pneumoniae 1084. RNAcentral describes it as "16S ribosomal RNA". It matches the Rfam family "Bacterial small subunit ribosomal RNA". Lineage: Bacteria; Pseudomonadati; Pseudomonadota; Gammaproteobacteria; Enterobacterales; Enterobacteriaceae. The record is from RNAcentral.
AAAUUGAAGAGUUUGAUCAUGGCUCAGAUUGAACGCUGGCGGCAGGCCUAACACAUGCAAGUCGAGCGGUAGCACAGAGAGCUUGCUCUCGGGUGACGAGCGGCGGACGGGUGAGUAAUGUCUGGGAAACUGCCUGAUGGAGGGGGAUAACUACUGGAAACGGUAGCUAAUACCGCAUAAUGUCGCAAGACCAAAGUGGGGGACCUUCGGGCCUCAUGCCAUCAGAUGUGCCCAGAUGGGAUUAGCUAGUAGGUGGGGUAACGGCUCACCUAGGCGACGAUCCCUAGCUGGUCUGAGAGGAUGACCAGCCACACUGGAACUGAGACACGGUCCAGACUCCUACGGGAGGCAGCAGUGGGGAAUAUUGCACAAUGGGCGCAAGCCUGAUGCAGCCAUGCCGCGUGUGUGAAGAAGGCCUUCGGGUUGUAAAGCACUUUCAGCGGGGAGGAAGGCGUUAAGGUUAAUAACCUUGCGAUUGACGUUACCCGCAGAAGAAGCACCGGCUAACUCCGUGCCAGCAGCCGCGGUAAUACGGAGGGUGCAAGCGUUAAUCGGAAUUACUGGGCGUAAAGCGCACGCAGGCGGUCUGUCAAGUCGGAUGUGAAAUCCCCGGGCUCAACCUGGGAACUGCAUUCGAAACUGGCAGGCUAGAGUCUUGUAGAGGGGGGUAGAAUUCCAGGUGUAGCGGUGAAAUGCGUAGAGAUCUGGAGGAAUACCGGUGGCGAAGGCGGCCCCCUGGACAAAGACUGACGCUCAGGUGCGAAAGCGUGGGGAGCAAACAGGAUUAGAUACCCUGGUAGUCCACGCCGUAAACGAUGUCGAUUUGGAGGUUGUGCCCUUGAGGCGUGGCUUCCGGAGCUAACGCGUUAAAUCGACCGCCUGGGGAGUACGGCCGCAAGGUUAAAACUCAAAUGAAUUGACGGGGGCCCGCACAAGCGGUGGAGCAUGUGGUUUAAUUCGAUGCAACGCGAAGAACCUUACCUGGUCUUGACAUCCACAGAACUUUCCAGAGAUGGAUUGGUGCCUUCGGGAACUGUGAGACAGGUGCUGCAUGGCUGUCGUCAGCUCGUGUUGUGAAAUGUUGGGUUAAGUCCCGCAACGAGCGCAACCCUUAUCCUUUGUUGCCAGCGGUCCGGCCGGGAACUCAAAGGAGACUGCCAGUGAUAAACUGGAGGAAGGUGGGGAUGACGUCAAGUCAUCAUGGCCCUUACGACCAGGGCUACACACGUGCUACAAUGGCAUAUACAAAGAGAAGCGACCUCGCGAGAGCAAGCGGACCUCAUAAAGUAUGUCGUAGUCCGGAUUGGAGUCUGCAACUCGACUCCAUGAAGUCGGAAUCGCUAGUAAUCGUAGAUCAGAAUGCUACGGUGAAUACGUUCCCGGGCCUUGUACACACCGCCCGUCACACCAUGGGAGUGGGUUGCAAAAGAAGUAGGUAGCUUAACCUUCGGGAGGGCGCUUACCACUUUGUGAUUCAUGACUGGGGUGAAGUCGUAACAAGGUAACCGUAGGGGAACCUGCGGUUGGAUCACCUCCUUA